This 200-nucleotide long non-coding RNA is filed under the name Elaeis guineensis (African oil palm). Its description in RNAcentral is "long non-coding RNA (EGUI_LNC046533)". The record is from RNAcentral. Lineage: Eukaryota; Viridiplantae; Streptophyta; Magnoliopsida; Arecales; Arecaceae.
GCCAUCUUCAUUAGUCCAACAAAAAACAUUACACGGUUGCAAACAUGGUCCUUCAAGCAAACCAAGAGAAAGGCUAGUAAUAGGUUUGGGUUGUAUCUUUUGCAUGAAAGAAUGAUUGAUCUUCUUUCAUGAUGUCAAAUUUUGUAUCUCACACUAUAUAGAUCUCCAAGCACAUCAAACUUUCUCAUUCAUCAAUUUGC